Molecule: non-coding RNA, 235 nt
Filed under: Lactobacillus kefiranofaciens
Lineage: Bacteria; Bacillati; Bacillota; Bacilli; Lactobacillales; Lactobacillaceae
Description: T-box sequence
Rfam family: T-box leader
About the family: Uncharged tRNA acts as the effector for transcription antitermination of genes in the T-box leader family. T-boxes are found upstream of many aminoacyl-tRNA synthetase genes and some amino acid biosynthetic genes usually in Gram-positive bacteria. The anticodon of a specific tRNA base pairs to a specifier sequence within the T-box motif, and the NCCA acceptor tail of the tRNA base pairs to a conserved bulge in the T-box antiterminator hairpin.
Source: RNAcentral
UUAAAAAUCAUGAUAAACAGAGUACUUGAAAUACUUUUUUUCAGAGACUUGUUGUUAGGUGAAAAACAAGAAAAAGUCUUCAAGGAAGAUGGGUUUAGAUCGAUUGCACUGGUGAUAUUUAGCCAGUGACGGGGUUGCUCUCGUUAAUAAAACAAGCUAUUGAUUGAUAGUUAGUAAGGCUUUUUACGUAAGUAAAUGGCAAAUUAAGGUGGUAACACGAGCAUUCGUCCUUUUA